This 739-nucleotide ribosomal RNA is filed under the name Trichaptum abietinum. RNAcentral describes it as "Hirschioporus abietinus partial large subunit ribosomal RNA". The record is from RNAcentral. Lineage: Eukaryota; Fungi; Basidiomycota; Agaricomycetes; Hymenochaetales; Trichaptaceae.
GAGUUGUAAUCUGGAGAAGCGUUUUCCGUGUCGGACCGUGCACAAGUCUCUUGGAACAGAGCGUCAUAGAGGGUGAGAAUCCCGUUUUAUGGCACGGACACCCGAUACUUUGUGAUACGUUUUCUAAGAGUCGAGUUGUUUGGGAAUGCAGCUCAAAAUGGGUGGUAAAUUCCAUCUAAAGCUAAAUAUAGGCGAGAGACCGAUAGCGAACAAGUACCGUGAGGGAAAGAUGAAAAGCACUUUGGAAAGAGAGUUAAACAGUACGUGAAAUUGUUGAAAGGGAAACGCUUGAAGUCAGUCGCGUCUUCUAGGACUCAGCCUUACUUCGGUUAGGUGUACUUCCUGGUUUGACGGGUCAACAUCGAUUUUGAUCGACGGAUAAAGGAGAAGGGAAUGUGGCACCUUCGGGUGUGUUAUAGCCCUCUUCGUAUACGUCGAUUGGGAUCGAGGACUGCAGCACGCCCUUGUGGCCGGGGGUUCGCCCUACGUAUCGUGCUUAGGAUGUUGACAUAAUGGCUUUAAGCGACCCGUCUUGAAACACGGACCAAGGAGUCUAACAUGCUCGCGAGUGUUAGGGUGGAAAACCCUUGCGCGUAAUGAAAGUGAAAGUUGGGACCUCUGCAAGGAGGGCACCGACGCCCGGCCCUGAAGUUCUCUGACGGUGCUGCGGUAGAGCGCGUAUGUUGGGWCCCGAAAGAUGGUGAACUAUGCCUGAAUAGGGCGAAGCCAGAGGAAACUC